GGGAUUGUGGCUCAGUGGUAUAGCGCUCGCCUAGCAUGUGUGAGGCCCUGGGUUUGAUCCUCAGCACCACCU
RNAcentral lists this transfer RNA (72 nucleotides) under Ictidomys tridecemlineatus (thirteen-lined ground squirrel). RNAcentral describes it as "Spermophilus tridecemlineatus (thirteen-lined ground squirrel) tRNA". It matches the Rfam family "tRNA". From Rfam's summary of the family: Transfer RNA (tRNA) molecules are approximately 80 nucleotides in length. The record is from Rfam by way of RNAcentral. Lineage: Eukaryota; Metazoa; Chordata; Mammalia; Rodentia; Sciuridae.